UACGGGGGGGGCAAGCGUUGUUCGGAAUUACUGGGCGUAAAGGGCUUGUAGGCGGCCAACUAAGUCCGACGUGAAAUCCCCAGGCUUAACCUGGGAACUGCGUCGGAUACUGGAUGGCUUGAAUUCGGGAGAGGGAUGCAGAAUUCCAGGUGUAGCGGUGAAAUGCGUAGAUAUCUGGAGGAACACCGGUGGCGAAGGCGGCAUCCUGGACCAUUACUGACACUGAAACGCGAAAGCCAGGGGAGCAAACGGG
RNAcentral lists this ribosomal RNA (253 nucleotides) under uncultured prokaryote. RNAcentral describes it as "partial 16S ribosomal RNA". It matches the Rfam family "Bacterial small subunit ribosomal RNA", at positions 524 to 776 of the family's 1533-position model. The record is from RNAcentral.